RNAcentral lists this ribosomal RNA (559 nucleotides) under uncultured archaeon. RNAcentral describes it as "bacterial SSU rRNA". It matches the Rfam family "Archaeal small subunit ribosomal RNA", at positions 333 to 899 of the family's 1478-position model. The record is from RNAcentral.
CAGCAGGCGCGAAAACUUUACAAUGCGGGAAACCUUGAUAAGGGAACUCCGAGUGCCCGUAAAAUCGGGCCGUCCAUCUGUUUAAAUAACUGGUGAAGAAAGGGCCGGGCAAGACCGGUGCCAGCCGCCGCGGUAAUACUGGCGGCUCGAGUGGUGACCACUAUUACUGGGCUUAAAGCGUUCGUAGGUGGUCUGUUAAGUCUCUGGGGAAAUCUACCGGCUUAACCAAUAGGUGUUUCAGGGAUACUGGCAGACUAGGGACCGGGAGAGGUGAGGGGUACUCCAGGGGUAGGAGUGAAAUCCUGUAAUCCUUGGGGGACCAUCCUGUGGGGAAGGCGCCUCACCAGAACGGCUCCGACAGUGAGGGAAGAAAGCUGGGGCGAGCAAACCGGAUUAGAUACCCGGGUAGUCCCAACCGUUAACGAUGCGCCUUAGGUGUAUCGGUGACCACGAGUCACCGAGGUGCCGAAGAGAAAUCGUGAAACGUGCCGCCUGGGAAGUACGGUCGCAAGGCUGAAACUUAAAGGAAUCGGCGGGCGAGCACAAGGGCGAAUUCGCG